UCCUGGUUAGCUCAGUCGGUAUAGAGCGCUCCACUUGGAAUGGAGAGGUCCUGGAUUCGAUACCCGGACCUGGCG
This 75-nucleotide transfer RNA is filed under the name Ixodes scapularis (black-legged tick). It matches the Rfam family "tRNA". Rfam says of the family: Transfer RNA (tRNA) molecules are approximately 80 nucleotides in length. The record is from Rfam by way of RNAcentral. Lineage: Eukaryota; Metazoa; Arthropoda; Arachnida; Ixodida; Ixodidae.